UGCACUUUGCUCAGGAGUCCAAUCAGCUACUAUAAUAUACAUUCUGUCAAUGUGUCAAUAGAUCAACAUUUGUACAUUGUGUGGGCCCAUGUAAAGGCAGCCUACAAGUCUACGUCUACUGAUAAGGUCCAGUACUGUGCCAUAGACCUCAAUAUUACAAACAUGAAAUUUCUGCCACUCGAACCCAGCCGUGGCUCCGUUCCCUGCUCGACCAACCCGCAAAUUGGAGGGCGUGGAAACGCAUGCGCAUUCUGUCCACUGCGGCUCCCCUGCUUUGCCGCAUUGUAGCGCGUGCGUGGUAUGUGGUGCGCGCUGACUGACAGCAGCCAAGUGAACAGUUUAUGUAUACGUGCGUGUGUAUGUGAUGUUACGUGUACAUGUUGAUUUCGUCUUAGGUAACAUACAAGCAGUUUUUGAACGCGUUUUUUAUGUUUCAGCGUAUGGUUUAUAAAACCAACAGUCUGAGCCUCAGCCAGUUUCCAGAGCACGCAUGAUUUAUAUAUUUACUGCUGAGCAAAGCACAGAUAGCAGAAAUAGAGAAUCAUCACUUGUACAGCAAGUAGAGCUCUCGUGCCUGUUUCUGUUAUCCUGUAUGUGACAACGAAAUUGCAAGACAUCUAGCAUCGUUUAAUCAUGCUCAAAUUGAAGUUUGAUUUGUUCUUUCUCUGUUAUGGUAUUUCAUUUUGUUUUGGUUGAACUGUCCUUGAUGUGCACAUAUCAUGCUGAAGUUGUGUGAUCAAUAAUUAAUCAAAGUUUGAAAAGCUAGCAACGGUUGCAGUUGAAUGGUGUGCAUGAAGUUUGGAGGUGUCUCUCUCUUUCAGGUUGAGCUUAUCAGCCUCUAAAAAGCGAAUGAAAAAAAUUCCAAUUAAUCUGUGUGUGUGUGUGAGUGUGUGAGAGAGAGAGAGAGAGAGAGAGAGUGCAUAUAUGUGGCUGGACUUUUUUGAACAAUAGGUUUAUUUUUUUAAAAACUAUAAACAUUUUAACAAAUGCUUCUUUAGGUUCAUCUGAAUAAUAAUCAUAAAUGGUGUGUACAGAUUACAUUUUCACAUUAACAUUGGGUGACAGACACCUCUUUUGUUUAAAUAUGUAUAAAAUAUGAUUACAAUUAAAAUGUUUUCUGUUUAA
Anguilla anguilla (European eel) is the source of this 1125-nucleotide long non-coding RNA. RefSeq lists it as uncharacterized. NCBI's taxonomy places the organism in Eukaryota, Metazoa, Chordata, Actinopteri, Anguilliformes, Anguillidae. The transcript has 2 exons. The record is from RefSeq and is a predicted model, not a curated record.